Long non-coding RNA from Xenia sp. Carnegie-2017, 94 nucleotides. RefSeq lists it as uncharacterized. The transcript has 2 exons. NCBI's taxonomy places the organism in Eukaryota, Metazoa, Cnidaria, Anthozoa, Malacalcyonacea, Xeniidae. The record is from RefSeq and is a predicted model, not a curated record.
CAACUGUCUCUACAGUUCAGUGUCAUUGCUUUUGGCAGUUUUUUUUCCUAGCAAAACUAAAAGGACAAUUUCUGGUCCAACAUGCCCAGUGCCU